AGUGAACGCUGGCGGUAGGCCUAACACAUGCAAGUCGAACGGCAGCACAGUAAGAGCUUGCUCUUACGGGUGGCGAGUGACGGACGGGUGAGGAAUACAUCGGAAUCUACUUUUUCGUGGGGGAUAACGUAGGGAAACUUACGCUAAUACCGCAUACGACCUACGGGUGAAAGCAGGGGAUCUUCGGACCUUGCGCGAUUGAAUGAGCCGAUGUCGGAUUAGCUAGUUGGCGGGGUAAAGGCCCACCAAGGCGACGAUCCGUAGCUGGUCUGAGAGGAUGAUCAGCCACACUGGAACUGAGACACGGUCCAGACUCCUACGGGAGGCAGCAGUGGGGAAUAUUGGACAAUGGGCGCAAGCCUGAUCCAGCCAUACCGCGUGGGUGAAGAAGGCCUUCGGGUUGUAAAGCCCUUUUGUUGGGAAAGAAAAGCAGCAGGUUAAUACCCCGCUGUUCUGACGGUACCCAAAGAAUAAGCACCGGCUAACUCCGUG
RNAcentral lists this ribosomal RNA (492 nucleotides) under uncultured bacterium. Its description in RNAcentral is "partial 16S ribosomal RNA". It matches the Rfam family "Bacterial small subunit ribosomal RNA", at positions 29 to 507 of the family's 1533-position model. The record is from RNAcentral.